Molecule: ribosomal RNA, 756 nt
Filed under: Globigerinella siphonifera
Lineage: Eukaryota; Foraminifera; Rotaliida; Globigerinidae
Description: bacterial SSU rRNA
Rfam family: Eukaryotic small subunit ribosomal RNA
Source: RNAcentral
ACGCGGGGAAUCUUACCGGGUCCGGACACACUGAGGAUUGACAGACAAUUGUCUUUUUGUCAAAUUAAAAGACAAAAGAUAACAGAUCUUUCAUGAUUAUGUGAUGGGUGGUCUUAGUUCGUGGAGUGAUCUGUCUGCUUAAUUGCGUUUCAAAUAUUUUAUUAUAUACGAGUCUACAAAGGAGUGGUUCAUUAACAGACAAUCAUAUCUUUGAGCGUCUGGAAUCUACUCUAUUUGGCUCAAUUGAACGCAACGGACGUGAUCGCGAGUCCUUGUUGAACUUCAGUAUAUAUUGACUUUCCCCGUAGGAAGGGAUUGGCAAUAAUUGAAUGUUCGCUUUCUAUUAGGUUUGUAUGUAAUCUCAAAAUUACAUGUAUUUGUAAUGGCGAGUGAUCACACCUAUAGGAAAACUCGGGCGACCGCUGUAAUAUUUCUCUUUAAAACAGAGGAAGAUUGCGGCAAUAACAGGUCUGUGAUGCCCUCAGAUGUCCCGGGCCGCACACGUGCUACAUUGAUUAGCGCAGUGCGCAUACUUUCAAUAUGAUACAUUAGAUUGGAUAGCUUUUGCUUCCAUCUAAUACUAUCCGGCUUGAGAAGGCUGGGUAAUCAAUUGUAAGUGCUGGUUCCUCCUCCCGUUGAGCAUUUUAAUAAUGGCCUCUCUACAUCCCUAGUAAUAUGACUACGAUUGUAGUUGAGCCUUGCCAUUUAUGCAAGUGUCAAUUCUCGGGGACAGACAUUUGAUAAUUCUUUGUCUCG